This 267-nucleotide non-coding RNA is filed under the name Cariama cristata (Red-legged seriema). RNAcentral's name for it is "Eukaryotic small subunit ribosomal RNA". It matches the Rfam family "Eukaryotic small subunit ribosomal RNA", at positions 57 to 283 of the family's 1831-position model. The record is from Rfam by way of RNAcentral. Lineage: Eukaryota; Metazoa; Chordata; Aves; Cariamiformes; Cariamidae.
GUCUAAGUAUACAUGGGCAGCACAGUGAAACUGCAAAUGGCUCAUUAAAUCAGUUAUGGUUCCUUUGGUUGCUCCCCUCCCUCUCCUUGGAUAACUGUGGUAAUUCUAGAGCUAAUACAUGCCGACAAGUGCCGACCUUCGGGGAUGCGUGCAUUUAUCAGUGUCCAGUUCUGGGUCUCACACUUCAAGAAAGACCUUGAGGUGCUGGACCGAGUCCAGAGAAGGGAAACGAAGGCGGUUAAGGGUCUGGAGGGUAAGUCUUAUGAG